RNAcentral lists this ribosomal RNA (1097 nucleotides) under Citrobacter sp. RNAcentral's name for it is "bacterial SSU rRNA". It matches the Rfam family "Bacterial small subunit ribosomal RNA", at positions 75 to 1166 of the family's 1533-position model. The record is from RNAcentral. Lineage: Bacteria; Pseudomonadati; Pseudomonadota; Gammaproteobacteria; Enterobacterales; Enterobacteriaceae.
GCAGCUUGCUGCUUUGCUGACGAGUGGCGGACGGGUGAGUAAUGUCUGGGAAACUGCCCGAUGGAGGGGGAUAACUACUGGAAACGGUAGCUAAUACCGCAUAAUGUCGCAAGACCAAAGAGGGGGACCUUCGGGCCUCUUGCCAUCGGAUGUGCCCAGAUGGGAUUAGCUAGUUGGUGAGGUAACGGCUCACCAAGGCGACGAUCCCUAGCUGGUCUGAGAGGAUGACCAGCCACACUGGAACUGAGACACGGUCCAGACUCCUACGGGAGGCAGCAGUGGGGAAUAUUGCACAAUGGGCGCAAGCCUGAUGCAGCCAUGCCGCGUGUAUGAAGAAGGCCUUCGGGUUGUAAAGUACUUUCAGCGGGGAGGAAGGGGUUAAGGUUAAUAACCUUAGCCAUUGACGUUACCCGCAGAAGAAGCACCGGCUAACUCCGUGCCAGCAGCCGCGGUAAUACGGAGGGUGCAAGCGUUAAUCGGAAUUACUGGGCGUAAAGCGCACGCAGGCGGUCUGUCAAGUCGGAUGUGAAAUCCCCGGGCUCAACCUGGGAACUGCAUUCGAAACUGGCAGGCUUGAGUCUCGUAGAGGGGGGUAGAAUUCCAGGUGUAGCGGUGAAAUGCGUAGAGAUCUGGAGGAAUACCGGUGGCGAAGGCGGCCCCCUGGACGAAGACUGACGCUCAGGUGCGAAAGCGUGGGGAGCAAACAGGAUUAGAUACCCUGGUAGUCCACGCCGUAAACGAUGUCUAUUUGGAGGUUGUGCCCUUGAGGUGUGGCUUCCGGAGCUAACGCGUUAAAUAGACCGCCUGGGGAGUACGGCCGCAAGGUUAAAACUCAAAUGAAUUGACGGGGGCCCGCACAAGCGGUGGAGCAUGUGGUUUAAUUCGAUGCAACGCGAAGAACCUUACCUGGUCUUGACAUCCACAGAACUUGGCAGAGAUGCCUUGGUGCCUUCGGGAACUGUGAGACAGGUGCUGCAUGGCUGUCGUCAGCUCGUGUUGUGAAAUGUUGGGUUAAGUCCCGCAACGAGCGCAACCCUUAUCCUUUGUUGCCAGCGGUCCGGCCGGGAACUCAAAGGAGACUGCCAGUGAUAAACUGG